Molecule: unclassified non-coding RNA, 611 nt
Filed under: Hevea brasiliensis (rubber tree)
Lineage: Eukaryota; Viridiplantae; Streptophyta; Magnoliopsida; Malpighiales; Euphorbiaceae
Source: RNAcentral
UUCGCAGCUGAGUCAACUCAUUGACCCACUCACCAGGUCAUCCCAUUCACGUUAGUUUCUCCAUUUCCGUACUCUACUUGUUUUAGCUGUUAGCAUCCGGUUUUCAACUGAGUUAACUCAUUGGCUGUCUCAGUGAGUUGUUGUUCAAAGAAAUUUUCUUGGAAAAUUCGAGAUUUUGAAGUCGUGGUUAGGUACUGAAAAGAGGGAUGGGAAAAAUGGAGGGUAGCAAAGGUUCUGGUGGAAUUGGUGGGGAUAAUGGGAGCUCCAGCGAGGGUCGGCCUCCGAACCCUCUCGCACCGUGUCGACAGUGUUUUGGCCUCGAUAAUAGUCCCGUUUCCUGUAAGAAGACGCUUGUUCGGCACCAGUCCCUUGUGAAAACAAGGACAUCAGAUAUCUCUGUUGAACCUGAUCUUGGCGUAGAAAAUCACAACACUGACUUCAUUCCUAUUGUCCGUUCUGGAGCAUGGAAGGACAUUGGCUUUCGCACCAGCAUGGAAGAUGUAUAUAUAUGCAUUGACAAUUUUAUGAGUGACUAUGGACUCAAUAAUGUAGUCAGUGGGCCUAAUUCCUUCUAUGGGGUGUUUGAUGGACAUGGAGGAAAACAUGCGGCG